AUCAGAUGAAAAUCUACUACAUGGAUAACCGUGGUAAUUCUAUGGCUAAUACAUGCGCAAAUAUCCUUUUUCGCAAGAAAGAGGAUAGUGUUUAUUAGAUACAGAACCAAUACACCAUCUGUUAACAGCAGGUGGUGUAAAAAAGGUGAUUCAUAGUAACCGAACGGAUCGCAUUAUGGUCAUUUUAUAUGGCUGGCGAUAGAUCAUUCAAGUUUCUGACCUAUCAGCUUUCGACGGUAGUGUAUUGGACUACCGUGGCAGUGACGGGUAACGGGGAAUUAGGGUU
RNAcentral lists this ribosomal RNA (286 nucleotides) under Sarcocystis cruzi. RNAcentral describes it as "partial 18S ribosomal RNA". It matches the Rfam family "Eukaryotic small subunit ribosomal RNA", at positions 119 to 377 of the family's 1831-position model. Lineage: Eukaryota; Apicomplexa; Conoidasida; Eucoccidiorida; Sarcocystidae. The record is from RNAcentral.